Molecule: long non-coding RNA, 208 nt
Filed under: Elaeis guineensis (African oil palm)
Lineage: Eukaryota; Viridiplantae; Streptophyta; Magnoliopsida; Arecales; Arecaceae
Description: long non-coding RNA (EGUI_LNC060675)
Source: RNAcentral
GGCCAGAAAAAGAAAACAUUAUUACAAAACUCAAAAGAGAUACACCGGAGGCCACUUCAAGCUGUAGACUUCUCUUCCCGAUUCUAUCCUUCCCAGCAGCAUUGUCCAGUACGUGUGAUAAGCCUCUCGGCUCUCGCCCCCUGCCUCGUUCCACUCCAUCUCCAAAAUCCCAACCCUAGGGGGAAAAGGAUGGGAUAGAAUUCAGGGA